UGGUCCCACCUGACCCCAUGCCGAACUCAGAAGUGAAACGCCGUAGCGCCGAUGGUAGUGUGGGGUCUCCCCAUGCGAGAGUAGGGAACUGCCAGGCA
RNAcentral lists this ribosomal RNA (98 nucleotides) under Escherichia coli. Lineage: Bacteria; Pseudomonadati; Pseudomonadota; Gammaproteobacteria; Enterobacterales; Enterobacteriaceae. The record is from RNAcentral. RNAcentral also lists the same sequence under 15 other names.